GUCUUUCAACAUGGUGCACGGCUAACACUUCCCUGAAGGUCAGCGCCAAAUUGCUCCCAUUUCAAAAGCCAGUGGCUGGCUGAGAAGGACAGCUGCUGGGAAUUACAGUGCAAGAGAAUUAUGGACGGCCUCUACAUUCGAGUCACGUCCAUAUGAGGAACCGGACUGUCUCUAUACCUGGCAGCCGCCGCCUUGAGCAGAGUUCAACCUCACUGGCAUCUCCUGAGAACAGUGAAAAGAUUUAUUAUUCCAGCCAGAGAAAAGGAGAAUUCAAUCUGUUUUUGGCAGAUCAGAACUCACUUCUCUAGGCUCCAAACAUUUUCAAAGUGGAACCCAGCAAUUUUGCCAGUUGUUUUUUUUUUUAAUGUACUGUUACUACUCCCAUUUCUCUAUUUAUUUCCUGUCAAAGCUGUUUAAUCAAAUACAUCUACGAGCAUAUGCACCACAAAUCCUUAUGGUUACUGUCCUCAACAUUCAACUACAACCAUUUGAACUAUACUGAGAUCCUUAAUUUGUUCAACUCUACUGAGAUACUUAAAGCUGCAGUCUGAAUAUGGGAGGUGAUAGUAGAACGAAGAGGAGCUGUAAAAAGAAAGUUAAAAUCAUCACAUACUGACAAGCCAUGCAGAGGACAUAAGCAAUUCUUCUGCAAUAACCAUUUUAUGCCUAAUAACCGUAUUCUUAGGGAACAGAGAUUUUACGAGUUUCUUGGCCUCUUUGGCAGAGAAAGAAAACAUACUGAAACUAGUGGUGUUCAGUUCCAUCCCUUCGUGACUACAAUGUUCCUAUACAGGUAGAAAGUAUUCUGAAGGCCAGAGUGUUUGAACAGUACUUCAUCAAUUCAAAAUGAGUUCAUGCCAAGCUUGCUUGGCACAUUUCUGGUAAGAUGGGCCCCUUUAGUUUUCUCUUACUUUUUAAUAUAUAAUUUCAAAUAUUUUUGAGGUAUGGAUGACAUUUUUAAAAUGCAAAAGCAUUAAAAAAUAACAGAAAACAGAACAAGUUCCAGAGCACCACCGGUUUCCCAUUUGUGCAGCUAUAUCUCAGCCUUCUCUCAUUAGAAGCGCGCAGAAAAGUAGGGAGUUUCAGCCCUUUCAAAACCAUCUCGCACAUCUAAUAAAAUGCUGCCUUCUUACACAGCUGAGAUACCAACAGCAGCGAAACCAAGGAUACCACGGCGUAACAAGGCUUAGUACUAUUUGUAUUUUGAAUGCUUGACUGAAAAAAGAAAACACGGGGAACUUCUCAUUCAGCUGAGUUGGAUGCAAAAGGCACUAAUUUAAGAAGCAGAAGGCAAAACUGUAGCUGCAGAAAGCAAUGAAGUUUUAGGUCUCUAAGUAAAACUGAGCUGGCAGCACCAAGCUCAUGUGCACGCCAAACGCCAGCUGCAAACGAGGACUGUUGUAAACCAC
Podarcis raffonei (Aeolian wall lizard) is the source of this 1409-nucleotide long non-coding RNA. RefSeq lists it as uncharacterized. NCBI's taxonomy places the organism in Eukaryota, Metazoa, Chordata, Lepidosauria, Squamata, Lacertidae. The record is from RefSeq and is a predicted model, not a curated record. The transcript is spliced from 3 exons.